GCCAAUAACAAAAGUGCCAAAAUGUCAGACCAUUUCUGAAGGAUGCUCUCCAUCCUUGAUUGAAAGAGAUAAACACAGCCUUUCACGUACAACGGGCAGUUUCUGCAUUUGAAAUUAUGCAUUAAACAGAUUGUUUAAGAGUUUUUCAGGUAGAAUCCUAACAACUCAGACUGGAGUAAAAGCUCUAUGAUUCACUCCCACAAAACUUUAAUUUCACUGACAGUAUAAUUGCAAAUCACAGGCAUUUCAAACAGUUGUGUUCAGUACGGUGAGUCUAUUUUAAAAUUGUGGAAGAUGAGUUGUUCUGUUUCUUUAGCCACCUUGCAGUAAAUAUCUGGGGAAUAUUCAGUUCACUGAUUUAGAGAAAAUUAUCAGUCCUGGUAGGGUUAUGAUGUGUGGAAAGCAUUUUCAGUCAGAGGGGGUUAAACAGCAGACUGAGCUACUGAGUGACCCCUGACAAGUUAUUUAAUUUCUUGUGCUUUAUUUUGCCCAUUUCUAACCUGGGAUAAUACACCUGCUAUCAUAGGGUUCCUGAGACUCUGAAAUUGGACAACAUAUAUAAGAGGACAACAUAGAUAAUGCCUCCCACCAUUUACUGGUAUUUGGCAGUUGCUUAAUAAAUGGCAAAAUCCUUUCGUUCUUUUCCGUGAUUUAUGGUCUCCUCUUAGGAUAUUGGAAAUAGAUAAUAAAAAAGAAAACACUUUCAGUUUUUUACUUAAACCAGAAGCCAGGUGUUAUCUUUAAUUUCUGUCUUUUCCUCAAACACCCAAUCUAAUUUGUCAGUGAAUUAAUCUUUCCUCUUUAUUUUCUCUGAAGAUUUUAAUUUUUGGUUGAUUUAGCUAAUAUUUAUUGAGCAUUUAUUAUUGACAAGCAUUGUUCUAAACCUGCAUUGACUCAUUUAGUCGUUGUAACUACCUAAUGAGUCUAUUAUUAUUGGUUUUUUUUUUUUUUUUUUGGCUUUUGUCUUUUUUCUUUUCAGGGCCACACCCACAGCAUAUAGUGUUUCCCAGGCUAGGGGUCCAAUUGGAGCUACAGCUGACAGCCUGCUCCACAGCCACAGCAACGCCAGAUACACCACAACUCACAGCAAUGCCGGAUCCUUAACCCACUGAGCGAGGCCAGGGAUCAAACCCAAAACCUCAUGGUUCCUAGUCUGAUUUGUUUCUGCUGCGCUAUGAUGGGUACUCCCUAUUAUUGCUGUUCUUAUUCUACAGAUAGACAUUAUGCAGUCAGUGAGCAGGGAUGGUAUUCUGGAACCCUUAACUGCUACCUUAUAUCCUCCACUUUUUGAGGUUCAGCUGCCUUACUUUGUUCUUUUGAGGCAUGGUACUCUCUUCCUUGAUCCCUUCCUAGUCUGUAAAUUUCUAGCCAACUCCACAUCCAUCUGAAUUUUUUGCCUGGAAUUCUUCUCUCCAUUCAGUACUCUCACCUCCCUCUGUGUCUCCUCCAUGCCAUUCACCUUGUCUGAAAGUGCAAUUACUCUUCUUUUUCCUUACAUCUACCCUUUAGUAACAUUUUACAUUAAUUACUUCUCAAAAUUCUAGUAUUUUUUUUUACCAGUUUUUAAUGAUCAGAGCAGAAUUAUAACAACAUUCAAGGAUUUUUUUAAAUUAUAAAUCACCCACUCUUCAAUCACAUACACAUUUCCUUUUUACACAUUUCUCUCUAGUCUCCUUUAUGUGUGUGUUUGUGGGAAUGCAUAUGUUUUAUAUUUACUCACCAUGAGUAAGUUGUAUUUGGAUUUUUUUUGCUGAUUAUUGAUUGUUUUUUCUCUAAAAAGUAGUCCUUAAAAUUAUCUCUGUAGUAUCACGUAAAAAUUCCAUUACCUUGAAAUAACAUAAUCUACCUCACCAGUUUUCUACUGUUGCACAGGUUGAUUUUAAUUGUUUCCUGUUCACAAUUCUACAACUAAUGUUUGCAUGUGGACACAGGUUUUUUAAAAAAUUGAUUUAUUUCCUUACUAUUAAAUUAAUUUAUUAAGUCAAUGAGUCAGCAUUUUUUCUACUUUUGACACAUUUUUGUUGUAUUGCUUUUGCUUUUAAUUGGAGAUUUUUUUUUAUUGUGUUGUAGCCAAUCUUAAAGUAUACACAGUUUAUACAAUGUAAAAUGUAACUAUUGACACCUAAAAUAGAGUUUUUCCAGUUCGUUAAAAAAUACCAUUGGGCUUCCACUCAGGCAUAGAUUAAAUUUGCCUCUUUCACUGUGUUGCUGUGUAUGUUACUUGCUUGUUCUUUUUCAUUAUUCUGUAGUAUACCAUUGGCUGGAUAUACAACAGUUUACCAGUUCUACUGUUGAUGAAUAUUUGAGUUGUUUCCAGUUACGGGCUACUGCAAAUAAAGCUGCCUUAAACAUAUUUUACAUGCCUUGGGUUGGCUCUGAACCCUCACUUCUGUUGAGUCUAUUCCCAGGAGUGGAAUGACUGAACACAGAGGACACAUAUAUUUAUCUGAAAUAUUACCUUCCUUAAGGUUUAAAAUCUAUUUAAAAUAAUAGGAAAAUAUUUCAAAAUUAUAAAUUGGUAAGGAUGUUAUACUGUCAUACGCAAGGGGAUGAAUAAAUCAUUUAGAAAAGCAGUUACAGAACGGAGUUUACAAACUGUCUAUCAUUGGUGGAAAAACUUAGCAAGUUCCACCUGCCAGGGAUGAUUCCCUUUAUUUCUGCAUGAAUUUAUCAUACAUGAAACUAUUAACUAUAGUUCACAGAAAUGAAUUCCUAAACGGUUAGACUUUUAUUAUUAUUACUAUUUUUAUUGCGAUAUAAUUGACAUGCAACUAUUUUUACUAUGUUGGCUAUAAAUACCCUUUGCUUCUACUCUUCCUGGAUUUUGCUCAUGCUGUUGUGUUUUCCCAGAAUCACAUCCUCAGUAGUCUGUGUUUCCCCAUUGCACUCUGUUUAUCACUUCACACUUAGUAAGUGCUGAAUACACACCAUCAAUCGACAGGUGUAAGUAUUUGUCUAUGUUAGUGAACCCAGUGGAACUGUACCCUUGCACUUUUAACAUAGAGUUCACGUGAACAGUUUAGGUAAGCAGAGCACGCACAAAGAUCCCUGCAUGCAAAUCCUGAGCUUUAUUGGGUAUCAGUAAGCAUGAUUUUGAAAACAUACUUUAUAUUUAAGUAAGGUUAUGAAAACAACAUCUUUUAAAGAACUUAAGGUACACUUAUAAAUUACAUCAUCUGCUCAUCUUAUGGCCAAGUUUUCUCAAAGUGAUUCGGGUGAUUCUUUUAUAAUCCUCUCUUAUACCUCUGAACCAGGAAGUGAGUGAAAAAAAUUCCUCCCCCACAGGCUUUCAUGCAUUGUCAUUAAGCAGCUUUUAUUUGUUAGGGUGUGUCAGCCUUAAAUAUCUUCUCUCUGGGACACCUGAAUUACAGCCAUGGUUUGAAGCUUAAUAAUAUCCUUGAGGUGCAGGCCAGACAAUGUUUCCAUUAUUGCAGUUCCUAUUUAUUGGAAGGUAAAAGAAUGUGAAGAGAAAAGAGUAGAUGGGAAGUGAUAAUGAUUGGCUAAGUGCUGUGAAACACUCUGACACUGAUCAAACUGUGUUCUUGUUUAUUUUAGUUCUUGGCAGUAUUAGAGUCUCUUGUUCAGACUCCGUCAUGUAAAGCUGUUUCUAGGCCUGAGGGUCAUCACGAAAGGGUGGGAGAGAAAUCAAUUAUUUAUUUUGAAAGAGAGACAAAAAUCACAGUUAAAUAUUUUAAAUCUGUAUGUUCUUUCCCAAACUGUUAACUGACUUUACUUUCACUUUUCAUUUUUCAUUUUUUUUUUAGGGCCGCCUCCACAGCAUAUGGAACUUCCCAGCCUAGGGUCAAAUUGGAGCCGCAGCCACAGGAAUGCGUGGUCCCAGUUGUGUCUGCAAUGUACACCACAGCUCAGGGCGAUGCUGGUUCCUUAGCUCACUGAAUGGGGCCAGGGAUAGAACCCGCAUCCUUAUGGAUGCUAGUCAGGUUUGUUACUGCUGAACCACAACAGGAACUUCUGACUUUGCUUUUAAGAAAAUGUUUUAAUGUUUUAAGAUAUUGCUAUUACAUGAGAAGUGAGGCAUUAAAAAGUAAUGAUUUUAGGACAGUUUUAUUAGAAAUUUACUACAUACCACAUAUUGGCAAUUUGCAGGUAUUUUUAUACUCAUACUCUCAUGCUGGUUCUUAGUAUCAGAAAGAACUUUACCUUCUGAAGACCCAUGAGUGGGUUGGGGUGUUGAGCAUCUAGCAAGCAUUCAGACUCUAACUUUUGGAAUAAGAAUAUAAGACAUUAACGGAGUUUCCUGGUGGCCUAGUGGGUCAAGGAUCCAGCAUUGUCAAUGCUGUAGCUUGGGUUUGAUCCCGGGCCCAGGAACUUACACAGAAAUUAAGACUGUUUUAUUAUUUAGUGUAGUACCUAACAUGUAGUGGAAUGAUUGCCUCAAAUAUUUGAUGAUGAAUGUAUAUAUUAAGGAAGUAAGUAAAAUUUUUAAAAAGUUUACCAUUUAGAUAAUAACCGGCUAUAUUGAGAAAAGUGUAGAAAAUAACAAAACCUAUAUAAUACUGCAGUAGCUGCAUAGUAUGGCAUGUGAGAUAAUUCACAAAUUACUAAGUUAAAUGAAUUCUAAAGGUUUGUGUAACUCUAAUCCAGUGGUUCUUUUCUUAGCUACAUACUCUAGACAAGCUCUUGCCCAUGUGUAUAAGGAAACUUUUACAGCAAUGCAUGAUAGCAGAAAUCAACAAAGAGUCCCAAUGUCCAUCAGCAGUACAACAAAUAAAAUACAGCUUUAUAUUCACACAAUGGAAUAUUAUAUUGUAGUAAAGAAUGAUUGAACUAGAGGUACACCAUCAACAUGGUUCAAUCUCAGAAACAUAACAUUGAGUGAAAGAAGCAAGUCAGAGAAAGAUCCAUUGAGUAGCAUUUUUUUCUAUGAUUUCAAAAACUAGAAAAUAUAAAUACUUUUUGAUAUAAUAUUUUUAAUUAUAUUCUGUAAAGAAAAGAGUUGGAAUAGUGGUCAAAAUCCCAUGUUAAUGCUUAGUUAUUAUGGUAUAUACCAAGUAGGUAUGUGUAUGGAGCGGGGCACAAAUUAGUUUUUCACAGACUGUCAGUGUUCUCUUUCUUCACUUGGGUAAUGUUACUCAGUGUUUUAUUUUUUCUUCUUAUUAAUUGAAGCAUAGUUGAUUUACAAUGCUGUGUUAGUUUCAGGUGUACAGCAAAGUGAUUCAGUUAUAUAUAAUAUUUUUUCUUUUCGGAUUCUUUUCCAUGAUAGGUUGUUACAGGGUAUUGGAUAUAGUCCCCUGUGCUAUAUAUAAUAGGGCCUUGUUGGGUGUAUCUGUUAAUACAACCACUAUGGAAAACAGUAUGGAGGUACCUUAGGAAACUAUACAUAGAACUACCAUAUGACUCAGCAGCCCACUCUUGGGCAUCCAUCCAGACAAAACUUUCCUUGAAAAAGACACUUGGGAGUUCCCGUCGUGGCACAGUGGUUAACGAAUCCGACUAGGAACCAUGAGGUUGCGGGUUCGAUCCCUGCCCUUGCUCAGUGGGUUAACGACCUGGCGUUGUCCUGAACUGUGGUGUAGGUCGCAGAUGCGGCUCGGAUCCCGUGUUGCUGUGCUCUGAUGUAGGCUGGCGGCUACAGCUCCGAUUAGACCCCUAGCCUGGGAACCUCCAUACACCCCGGGAACGGCCCAAGAAAUG
This 5655-nucleotide long non-coding RNA is filed under the name Sus scrofa (pig). Its description in RNAcentral is "lncRNA (ENSSSCG00000062811.1)". Lineage: Eukaryota; Metazoa; Chordata; Mammalia; Artiodactyla; Suidae. The record is from RNAcentral.